This 465-nucleotide ribosomal RNA is filed under the name uncultured Klebsiella sp. RNAcentral's name for it is "bacterial SSU rRNA". It matches the Rfam family "Bacterial small subunit ribosomal RNA", at positions 338 to 795 of the family's 1533-position model. Lineage: Bacteria; Pseudomonadati; Pseudomonadota; Gammaproteobacteria; Enterobacterales; Enterobacteriaceae. The record is from RNAcentral.
CCUACGGGAGGCAGCAGUGGGGAAUAUUGCACAAUGGGCGCAAGCCUGAUGCAGCCAUGCCGCGUGUGUGAAGAAGGCCUUCGGGUUGUAAAGCACUUUCAGCGGGGAGGAAGGCGUUAAGGUUAAUAACCUUGGCGAUUGACGUUACCCGCAGAAGAAGCACCGGCUAACUCAGUGCCAGCAGCCGCGGUAAUACGGAGGGUGCAAGCGUUAAUCGGAAUUACUGGGCGUAAAGCGCACGCAGGCGGUCUGUCAAGUCGGAUGUGAAAUCCCCGGGCUCAACCUGGGAACUGCAUUCGAAACUGGCAGGCUAGAGUCUUGUAGAGGGGGGUAGAAUUCCAGGUGUAGCGGUGAAAUGCGUAGAGAUCUGGAGGAAUACCGGUGGCGAAGGCGGCCCCCUGGACAAAGACUGACGCUCAGGUGCGAAAGCGUGGGGAGCAAACAGGAUUAGAUACCCCGGUAGUC